GGGUGGCCGCAUGAGAGAGGUGGCCACAAGGCACAGUGUUGCUAGUUUUUAUGGGCUCAGUAGCUUCAUAUGCUAACAAGUGGGAGGGCCAUUCCAACCACCCUGGUAAAAGGGCUGGGAUUCCCAGGAAUUGGACCACUGCCCACUUUGACCCUUAGUUUGCCUUCACUUUUUAAAGAUAUUUGUGCUGGGUGAAAAGUUCUAGGUUGACAGAUUUUUUUUUCUUUCUUUAAAGAUUUUGACUUUAGGACUACUGUCUUCUAGCUUGCAUUGUUUUUGACAAGAAAUCUGCUGUCAUCCUUAUCUUUAUUGCCCUGUAUUUAAUGUAGCCUAUUUCUCUAUCUGCUUUUCAAAUUUUUUCUUAGUCACUAGUUUAAAGCCAUUUGAUUAGGUUUUAGUGUUAGCGUAGCUUUCUUCAUAUUUCCUGCUUUUGGUACUCAUUGAUCUCAAAUUUGUGGUCUUACAAUUUUCAUCAGAUUUGAAACAUUUGGUCACUAUUUCUUCAGAUGCUUUUCUGU
Molecule: non-coding RNA, 518 nt
Organism: Vicugna pacos (alpaca)
Lineage: Eukaryota; Metazoa; Chordata; Mammalia; Artiodactyla; Camelidae
Source: RefSeq, a predicted model, not a curated record